RNAcentral lists this ribosomal RNA (696 nucleotides) under Triticum aestivum (bread wheat). RNAcentral's name for it is "partial small subunit ribosomal RNA". The record is from RNAcentral. Lineage: Eukaryota; Viridiplantae; Streptophyta; Magnoliopsida; Poales; Poaceae.
AUGCAGGUCACUAAGAUGAGUAAGAAACACAAGUGUUCUUCAAGUAGCAGAGUAAAAACCACCAUGGCAACACAAGGUUGGGUUGAAGCCAAUGCAAUGAGUAUACUCCAGAAUGAUCCUACCAUAGGAUGUAAAGAACUACAAGAGAAACUCAAAGAAACUUAUGACAUCACCAUUGGUUAUGAUACAGUUUGGGCGGGUAAAUCUAGAGCCAAAAAACAGAUUUAUGGCACUUUGAAGCAGAGUUUUCAGAAUUUGCAUAACUUCAAAGCAGAAGUUGAGAAGAGAUCUCCAGGGAGCAUCGUAGAGGUUGAUACCAAGGUAGUAGAUGGUAAAGUCCACUUUCACAGAUUCUUUAUGGCUCUUAAACCUUCCAUAGAUGGUUUUCUAGCUGGUUGUAGACCAUAUCUCAGCAUAGACUCCAUGGCAUUUAAUGGUAGAUGGAGAGGAUACUUGGCAGCUUGUACAACAUUAGAUGGUCAUAACUGGAUGUUUCCUGUUGCAAUUGGGUUCAUUGAUGGAGAGACCGAGGAAAACUGGACUUGGUUCAUGUCACAACUCAACAGAGCUUUAGGUUCAGUCCCUAACUUAGCUAUAUGUAUAGAUGCAUGCAAAGGUUUAGAAAAUGCUGUCAAAAAGGUUUUUCCUCAUGUGGAGCAGAGAGAGUGUUUUAGGCACUUGAUGGCAAACUUCACA